RNAcentral lists this ribosomal RNA (492 nucleotides) under uncultured bacterium. RNAcentral's name for it is "partial 16S ribosomal RNA". It matches the Rfam family "Bacterial small subunit ribosomal RNA", at positions 29 to 507 of the family's 1533-position model. The record is from RNAcentral.
AGUGGACGCUGGCGGUAGGCCUAACACAUGCAAGUCGAACGGCAGCACAGUAAGAGCUUGCUCUUACGGGUGGCGAGUGGCGGACGGGUGAGGAAUACAUCGGAAUCUACUUUUUCGUGGGGGAUAACGUAGGGAAACUUACGCUAAUACCGCAUACGACCUACGGGUGAAAGCAGGGGAUCUUCGGACCUUGCGCGAUUGAAUGAGCCGAUGUCGGAUUAGCUAGUUGGCGGGGUAAAGGCCCACCAAGGCGACGAUCCGUAGCUGGUCUGAGAGGAUGAUCAGCCACACUGGAACUGAGACACGGUCCAGACUCCUACGGGAGGCAGCAGUGGGGAAUAUUGGACAAUGGGCGCAAGCCUGAUCCAGCCAUACCGCGUGGGUGAAGAAGGCCUUCGGGUUGUAAAGCCCUUUCGUUGGGAAAGAAAAGCAGCAGGUUAAUACCCCGCUGUUCUGACGGUACCCAAAGAAUAAGCACCGGCUAACUUCGUG